Molecule: ribosomal RNA, 253 nt
Filed under: uncultured prokaryote
Description: partial 16S ribosomal RNA
Rfam family: Bacterial small subunit ribosomal RNA
Source: RNAcentral
GACAGAGGAUGCAAGCGUUAUCCGGAAUGAUUGGGCGUAAAGCGUCUGUAGGUGGCUUUUUAAGUUUGCUGUCAAAUCCCAGGGCUUAACCCUGGCUAGGCGGUGGAGACUACUGAGCUGGAGUACGGUAGGGGCAGAGGGAAUUUCCGGUGGAGCGGUGAAAUGCGUUGAUAUCGGAAGGAACGCCGGUGGCGAAAGCGCCCUGCUGGACCUCAUCUGACGCUGAGGCGCGAAAGCCAGGGGAGCAAACGGG